GUGGGGAAUUUUGGACAAUGGGCGCAAGCCUGAUCCAGCAAUGCCGCGUGCAGGAAGAAGGCCUUCGGGUUGUAAACUGCUUUUGUACGGAACGAAACGGUCCGGGUUAAUACCCUGGGCUAAUGACGGUACCGUAAGAAUAAGCACCGGCUAACUACGUGCCAGCAGCCGCGGUAAUACGUAGGGUGCAAGCGUUAAUCGGAAUUACUGGGCGUAAAGCGUGCGCAGGCGGUUUUGUAAGACAGGAGUGAAAUCCCCGGGCUCAACCUGGGAAUUGCGCUUGUGACUGCAAGGCUGGAGUGCGGCAGAGGGGGAUGGAAUUCCGCGUGUAGCAGUGAAAUGCGUAGAUAUGCGGAGGAACACCGAUGGCGAAGGCAAUCCCCUGGGCCUGCACUGACGCUCAUGCACGAAAGCGUGGGGAGCAAACAGGAUUAGAUACCCGGGUAGUCC
This 450-nucleotide ribosomal RNA is filed under the name uncultured bacterium. RNAcentral's name for it is "partial 16S ribosomal RNA". It matches the Rfam family "Bacterial small subunit ribosomal RNA", at positions 354 to 796 of the family's 1533-position model. The record is from RNAcentral.